Molecule: ribosomal RNA, 27 nt
Filed under: Peltigera evansiana
Lineage: Eukaryota; Fungi; Ascomycota; Lecanoromycetes; Peltigerales; Peltigeraceae
Also listed under: 1 other name
Description: partial 18S ribosomal RNA
Source: RNAcentral
AUGAGGGCGUGUGGGCUUAAUAUCCCC